AACGUAGGAGGCAAGCGUUAUCCGGAUUUACUGGGCGUAAAGCGCACGCAGGCGGCUGUGUAAGUCGGACGUGAAAACUCCUGGCUCAACCAGGAGAGGUCGUUCGAAACUGCAUGGCUUGAGGUUGGAAGAGGAGAGCGGAAUUCCCGGUGUAGUGGUGGAAUGCGUAGAUAUCGGGAGGAACACCAGUGGCGAAAGCGGCUCUCUGGUCCACACCUGACGCUCAGGUGCGAAAGCGUGGGUAGCGAAC
Molecule: ribosomal RNA, 250 nt
Filed under: uncultured bacterium
Lineage: Bacteria
Description: partial 16S ribosomal RNA
Rfam family: Bacterial small subunit ribosomal RNA
Source: RNAcentral